Megalobrama amblycephala (Wuchang bream) is the source of this 1516-nucleotide long non-coding RNA. RefSeq lists it as uncharacterized. The record is from RefSeq and is a predicted model, not a curated record. Lineage: Eukaryota; Metazoa; Chordata; Actinopteri; Cypriniformes; Xenocyprididae. The transcript is spliced from 4 exons.
AAAUGAAGUUACACUAGCAUUUUUUUUUUUUUUACAAGUAUUUUUCACCAAAAGUACUGAUUUACAAAAAGAAAAAUCUGAUUUAUGUCAGCAUAUACUCUUAUUUUCCUUCCUGUUUACACACUUGGAGAAUAGUUGUCCAUGGAGGCUUUGAUGGGUUUAGCCGCAAGAUGAUGAUCUUGAAAGCCAACAACAACAACAGGGCCUCAACAGUACUUUAAGCUGUGCGUGAUCAUGUUCUGCUUCAACGUGUCCGCAAUGACCAUGGAGGGGAAAAUUAAGUUGUGGAAAGAUACAUGUUUGAGCAACCAGAUUGGGGACCUGGAAUCAAGAAAGAGGAAGAAACAUUUUCUGUCUGUGCAAGUGUUUUAAAAUAAUCCUUGUGUAACCAUGGGAAAUUCAUCAGUUUAACAACUAGAGAGACUCUACACAACACGUGAUGUCAGUCAGAAAGGUUCCUCUGUUUCUGCUCAUGAUUCAUGGUUCAGAAGCCACUCCAUCCCCGGCGGCAAGCACAAUCGAUAGACCCGUCCAUACGACCAUCAAAACCGACUCUGAUUCGCCUUCUCUCUCCUUCACUCCCCCGGACAUGCCAGACUCUCGUGCCAGUGUCAGGCACCUCCAGACACUUAGUCUGGGUGUGACCCAACAACUGACUAUUCUUAUGUGAAUUCCUGGUGUUCAAUGUAUCAGUUGAGCCAUUUUAGAUUUUAUUCUUUGGGUAUAACUGCCAUGCGCCCUAGCCAGCUCCCUAGCCAGAGACACCGCGUUUAACCCAACAGAGAUGAUUGACCCAGAACACCGGCAGAGGUGGCGAAAGGAGGAGGCAGGCAAAAAAAACAUAAUCGACAGUGCCUGUGUCAACCGGAUGUGCCAGUCAGGCCCGCCGACAGAAACAGAGUGGCCGCCAAACCGCUUUUGUUGAAGCGUGAUUUCUCAUUUUAUAUUCAUCCAAUUGUAAAUGCAUCUAUUGUAUAUACCCUGAGGACUGGGGCAUCAGCUCACCAGCCAGAUUUAAUCAAUAUUUAAGGAUAGAAGCAGUGGGCUAAAAACUGUAUUAAAUCUGAAUAACUGGUUUUGUGUUUCUGAUGCGUGUUUUUCUUGAAUAAUAUGUUCCUUUAAUAGAUGUAGCCAUUGUGUAAUUGAUAUUUGGCAUUUCUUUUUCCAAUUAAGUAAUAUUGUUUUUUUGGCGAUAGCUAGAGACAUGAGUAAAGGUAUUAAUUUGGGAGGUGUCACCUAGGAGGCAUAAUGAAGGGAAUUUUGGAAUUUUGGUUUUGAAAAUUCUGUUAAUUUGUUAGCAACAUCUGUCCAGAACUGAUAAACGGGAGGGCAUAACCAAAGUGCAUGAAAGUAAGAGUCUUGUAUGUUUAGGUUGCAGUAAGUACAUCUGUCCGAGGUUUCUAGGCCCAUUUUGAACAUCUUCUGUUGUGUAAUGUGUGUUCUAUUCACGAUCUUAUACUGGAUUAAUUGAAUAUUUGUGUUAGUACUAAAGAUAAAGCUAUUUUUACAAACUGUU